ACACUCAGAUCCUGUGUGUUUGAGUUCAGGCAUUUAGAUUCCAAAGUGCCGAGGUUUUCAAUGUGUAGGUUCCAGUGUUCCAGGGGUGUGAGUUUUGAAGAUGUGACUGCUCCUGGAUGGGAAGGUUCUACAGCUGGCAGGCUCAGGAACUGCUUGUCCUCGUAGUCAAAGCGGCUUCCAAACACCACGGAGCUGAUGACGUUGGAGACGGUGCGGCUCAGGAAGAAGAUUUCUCUACUUGUGAACUGAAUUUAGAAACCACUUCAUUGGUUCCUGAGGAUUCAAAAUAAUCAUCUGCAUCACAACUUCCCAUCCAGCUCUUCCUGCUAACGUGCGCCCUGCAGGCAGCAGGUGAUGGCUCGGGUAUUGUGUCCUUGCCACCUGGAGGGGAGACCCCGAUUGAGUUCUGGGACCUGACUUCAGCCUCUCCCAGCCCUGGCUACCGUGGGCAUUUAGGGAGUAAACCA
Molecule: long non-coding RNA, 467 nt
Organism: Lepus europaeus (European hare)
Lineage: Eukaryota; Metazoa; Chordata; Mammalia; Lagomorpha; Leporidae
Exons: 3
Source: RefSeq, a predicted model, not a curated record